Molecule: ribosomal RNA, 274 nt
Filed under: uncultured bacterium
Lineage: Bacteria
Description: partial 16S ribosomal RNA
Rfam family: Bacterial small subunit ribosomal RNA
Source: RNAcentral
AGACGGAGGGGGCUAGCGUUGUUCGGAAUUACUGGGCGUAAAGGGCACGCAGGCGGUCUGCGUAGUCAGGCGUGAAAGCCCCGGGCUCAACCCGGGAAUUGCGUUUGAUACUGGCAGACUGGAGUCCGGGAGAGGGUAGUGGAAUUCCCAGUGUAGAGGUGAAAUUCGUAGAUAUUGGGAAGAACACCAGUGGCGAAGGCGGCUACCUGGACCGGUACUGACGCUGAGGUGCGAAAGCGUGGGGAGCAAACAGGAUUAGAAACCCGAGUAGUCC